RNAcentral lists this ribosomal RNA (255 nucleotides) under uncultured bacterium. RNAcentral's name for it is "partial 16S ribosomal RNA". It matches the Rfam family "Bacterial small subunit ribosomal RNA", at positions 524 to 776 of the family's 1533-position model. The record is from RNAcentral.
UACAGAGACUGCAAGCGUUAUUCGGAUUCACUGGGCGUAAGCGUGCGCAGGCGGCUAUGCAAGACAGAUGUGAAAUCCCCGGGCUCAACCUGGGAACUGCAUUUGUGACUGCAUAGCUAGAGUACGGUAGAGGGGGAUGGAAUUCCGCGUGUAGCAGUGAAAUGCGUAGAUAUGCGGAGGAACACCCGAUGGCGAAGGCAGCCCCCUGGGUUAACAACUGACGCCUCGAGGCACGAAAGCGUGGGAGCAAACAGG